Dromaius novaehollandiae (emu) is the source of this 903-nucleotide long non-coding RNA. RefSeq lists it as uncharacterized. The record is from RefSeq and is a predicted model, not a curated record. Lineage: Eukaryota; Metazoa; Chordata; Aves; Casuariiformes; Dromaiidae. The transcript is spliced from 2 exons.
GGGGUUUGGGAAGGGGGUCGAGCUUGGGUUGCCUUGGGAAUUGCUCCGAGCAGCUCCCAGCAGAGGCGGGGCUGGGCCACCCGCGACUGCCCGGCCGGGGCGCGGUGGCCCGCAGGUGGCCGGCCGGGGCGGGGGCUGCGCCGUGCCGGCCCGGCCCGGCUCGGCUCGGCCCGGCACGGCUCGGCUCGGCCGCCUUCCUCCCCGAGAGGAGGGAAGGCACGGGGGGGCUGGCUCCAGGCGGAGCCCGCCGGUUUCCCGGUAUCCGGAACAGGGCACAAGGGGAGCUGCGGGCCGGGCAGACCUGGGAGCGCUGCUCCGUGCCGCCGGCGCUCGGCCCCCGCUGGCCCUGCGCGGGCAGCGGCCGGGGCGCAGGAGCCGCGGGGCGGCGCGGGGCAGCGGCGUGGGGCAGCGGCGUGGGAAGCGCGGCCGCCCCGCCUCGGCCGGCUCGGAAACGCCGCGCUGAGACCAGCGAGAGGAGGCUGUGCCCGGCUCGGCACGGCUCCUCGGCCUCCUCUGCUUCCUCGGCUUCCCUUUCUGUGGGGAAAACGCGAGGUAUCCUAAAUGCGUCCAGGCGAAGAGGCCGCUCAAACCCUUCCUUCCUGAGACGAGAGGGAGCUGCUGCUGGAGCGUACGUUGCUUUCACAGGACGCGUCUGCUGGGAGCCCACAGUGAGGAACAGGAAUGGAUUUCUGCCAGAAGUACAUCAGAUGGUACACCUCGGAUGUUUCAGAUGUUCUGUGCAAGGUUAACUAUUUGGAUGAGAAGUUGUGGAAUCAAGUCAGUCAGUAACACUUUUGUGUUGGUCACACCUAUUGUGACUUUGGCAGUAGCAACAUGAGCAUUACAAUAAGCAGAGCUCUUUGGCUUGCCUUGACAAAAAAUAAAUAGAACUUUCCCUGAAAA